UCGGGGUACUCGAGCGGCGAACGGGUGAGUAACACGUGAGCAACCUGCCCUAGGCUUUGGGAUAACCCUCGGAAACGGGGGCUAAUACCGGAUAUUCACUUGCGGACGCAUGUUUGUGGGUGGAAAGUUUUUCGGCUUGGGAUGGGCUCGCGGCCUAUCAGCUUGUUGGUGGGGUGAUGGCCUACCAAGGCGACGACGGGUAGCCGGCCUGAGAGGGCGACCGGCCACACUGGGACUGAGACACGGCCCAGACUCCUACGGGAGGCAGCAGUGGGGAAUAUUGCACAAUGGGCGGAAGCCUGAUGCAGCGACGCCGCGUGAGGGAUGACGGCCUUCGGGUUGUAAACCUCUUUCAGCAGGGACGAAGCGCAAGUGACGGUACCUGCAGAAGAAGCGCCGGCCAACUACGUGCCAGCAGCCGCGGUAAGACGUAGGGCGCGAGCGUUGUCCGGAUUUAUUGGGCGUAAAGAGCUCGUAGGCGGCUUGUCGCGUCGACUGUGAAAACCCGUGGCUCAACUGCGGGCCUGCAGUCGAUACGGGCAGGCUAGAGUUCGGUAGGGGAGACUGGAAUUCCUGGUGUAGCGGUGAAAUGCGCAGAUAUCAGGAGGAACACCGGUGGCGAAGGCGGGUCUCUGGGCCGAUACUGACGCUGAGGAGCGAAAGCGUGGGGAGCGAACAGGAUUAGAUACC
RNAcentral lists this ribosomal RNA (690 nucleotides) under Verrucosispora sp. YIM 78192. RNAcentral describes it as "bacterial SSU rRNA". It matches the Rfam family "Bacterial small subunit ribosomal RNA", at positions 82 to 786 of the family's 1533-position model. The record is from RNAcentral. Lineage: Bacteria; Bacillati; Actinomycetota; Actinomycetes; Micromonosporales; Micromonosporaceae.